Molecule: ribosomal RNA, 442 nt
Filed under: uncultured bacterium
Lineage: Bacteria
Description: partial 16S ribosomal RNA
Rfam family: Bacterial small subunit ribosomal RNA
Source: RNAcentral
CCUACGGGAGGCAGCAGUGGGGAAUAUUGGGCAAUGGGCGCAAGCCUGACCCAGCAACGCCGCGUGAAGGAAGAAGGCUUUCGGGUUGUAAACUUCUUUUCUGAGGGACGAACAAAUGACGGUACCCUUGGAAAUAGCCACGGCUAACCACGGGCCAGCAGCCGCGGUAAGACGUAGGUGGCAAGCGUUAUCCGGAUUUAUUGGGUGGAAAGGGCGGGGAGGCGGGGAUGCAAGUCAGAUGUGAAAACCAAGGGCUCAACCUGGGGCCUGCAUUUGAAACUGUGUUUCUUGAGUGCUGGAGAGGCAAUCGGAAUUCCGUGUGUAGCGGUGAAAUGCGUAGAUAUACGGAGGAACACCAGUGGCGAAGGCGGAUUGCUGGACAGUAACUGACGCUGAGGCGCGAAAGCGUGGGGAGCAAACAGGAGUAGAUACCCGUGUAGUC